UUAAAUUGAAGAGUUUGAUCAUGGCUCAGAUUGAACGCUGGCGGCAGGCCUAACACAUGCAAGUCGAACGGUAACAGGAAGCAGCUUGCUGCUUUGCUGACGAGUGGCGGACGGGUGAGUAAUGUCUGGGAAACUGCCUGAUGGAGGGGGAUAACGUACUGGAAACGGUGGACUAAGUACCGCAUAACGUCGCAAGACCAAAGAGGGGGACCUUCGGGCCUCUUGCCAU
This 229-nucleotide ribosomal RNA is filed under the name Salmonella enterica subsp. enterica serovar Moscow str. SA20061414. Its description in RNAcentral is "partial 16S ribosomal RNA". It matches the Rfam family "Bacterial small subunit ribosomal RNA", at positions 1 to 221 of the family's 1533-position model. Lineage: Bacteria; Pseudomonadati; Pseudomonadota; Gammaproteobacteria; Enterobacterales; Enterobacteriaceae. The record is from RNAcentral.